Molecule: ribosomal RNA, 386 nt
Filed under: uncultured bacterium
Lineage: Bacteria
Description: bacterial SSU rRNA
Rfam family: Bacterial small subunit ribosomal RNA
Source: RNAcentral
UACGUAGGGGGCAAGCGUUGUCCGGAUUUAUUGGGCGUAAAGAGCUCGUAGGUGGUUUGGUAAGUCGGAUGUGAAAUCUCCAGGCUCAACCUGGAGGGGUCAUUCGAUACUGCCAUGACUAGAGGUCGGUAGGGGAGUGUGGAAUUCCUGGUGGAGCGGUGAAAUGCGCAGAUAUCAGGAGGAACACCCGUAGCGAAGGCGGCACUCUGGGCCGAUUCUGACACUGAGGAGCGAAAGCGUGGGGAGCGAACAGGAUUAGAUACCCUGGUAGUCCACGCCGUAAACGUUGGGCACUAGGUGUGGGACUCUAUCGACGGGUUCCGUGCCGUAGCUAACGCAUUAAGUGCCCCGCCUGGGGAGUACGGCCGCAAGGCUAAAACUCAAAG